GUUCUGGUAGCCCAAAUAACUAAGGCAUCGGUUUUGUAAACCGAAGAUCGAGGGUGAAAACCCCUCCCAGAACU
Molecule: transfer RNA, 74 nt
Filed under: Rhinobatos schlegelii (yellow guitarfish)
Lineage: Eukaryota; Metazoa; Chordata; Chondrichthyes; Rhinopristiformes; Rhinobatidae
Description: tRNA-Thr
Rfam family: tRNA
About the family: Transfer RNA (tRNA) molecules are approximately 80 nucleotides in length. Their secondary structure includes four short double-helical elements and three loops (D, anti-codon, and T loops). Further hydrogen bonds mediate the characteristic L-shaped molecular structure. tRNAs have two regions of fundamental functional importance: the anti-codon, which is responsible for specific mRNA codon recognition, and the 3' end, to which the tRNAs corresponding amino acid is attached (by aminoacyl-tRNA synthetases). tRNAs cope with the degeneracy of the genetic code in two manners: having more than one tRNA (with a specific anti-codon) for a particular amino acid; and 'wobble' base-pairing, i.e. permitting non-standard base-pairing at the 3rd anti-codon position.
Source: RNAcentral